CAGUUUUCAGAUGGGCCUGGACCUAUUUUCUACGAUUUUUAUGAUCAGUUUGGGCUUGGACUUGUUUUCUGUUAUUUUUAUGCCCUAUUUAAAGGCCAUAACGUCUUAGGGUUUGUAUCUUUUGAUGGCUUUGGCACAAAAACACACUCUUCACCCCCUUGGCGUAGAUUUGGAGAUGGUGACAACUCUCAUUUUCUCCUUUUUAGGGUUUGUAUCUCUUUCAUUCCAUUAUUCACCUAGUUUCUCCAUGACGAUGGAGAACUAAUCUUAUUUGUUGCUGGGGAAAGAUGUAACCUCUAAACUCUCAUAUAUCGAAUUUCUUAUUUAUUUAUAUGUUUGUCGUAUGCUUUGAUUAUCAAUUGUUGGGUUUCUCAUCUGCGCUUAAUGCUUUUAUCGUUUAACUC
RNAcentral lists this long non-coding RNA (404 nucleotides) under Vigna radiata. RNAcentral describes it as "long non-coding RNA (VRAD_LNC016216)". Lineage: Eukaryota; Viridiplantae; Streptophyta; Magnoliopsida; Fabales; Fabaceae. The record is from RNAcentral.